ACACGAGCUGCGGGACAGUGAGAGGAACACACUGGUAGAAGAGCACACAGGCAGCUGGAUGUCGAGAGGAGCGGAAGAGCACAGCGACAGGCACUGGUGUCGACCAGCGGAACGACGUGGAGUUUGGCCUGGGAGGUCAGAGAAGAAUUUGGCUGCUGGGCAGCCCCACUAUAGGGGAAAACCACCUUCCCACUCCAUUCCCCUUCUGAUCUCCCCAUCCACCUCGCUGAGAGCUACCACAACUCAAUAAAAAACCUAGCACUCGAUCUCCAAGCCCACAUGUGAUCCAAUUUUUCCCGUGCACUAAAGCAAGAACCUGGGAUACAGAAAGCCGUCUGUCCUUGUGAUAAGGCAGAGGGUCUAAUUGAGCUGAUUAACACAAGCCACCUGCGGACAGCUAAGCUGAAAAAGCAUCCUGUAACACACGCCCACUGGGGCCUCAGGAGGUGUAAACAUUCACCCCGAGAGGCUGCAUGGGUCCGCGCCCAUGGUCCCCAUGACUUGCCUGUUUGCCUGCUCUGGCUAAGGGUCUUGACCAGUGGGGCACUGAAGAAGCGAGCCACACCUCCAUCGUACGCCCUGCGAGGAGGAAAUUGCCACAGUCACCUCAACCUUCAGCAACCACCAACUUGAUCAAUCAGCAGCCAAUAACGUGAAGUCAUGACCAUUCACCAGCAAAAAGUUUAUGAUUCACCAAAAUAUUAGAUGAUCAUUAACAUUUUUAGCAAUAAUGUAUUUGUCAUUAAGGUGUUAGUGCAUUGGAAAAUCAUUUAAAGAAUGUAUCAGCUAAUUGAAGGCUUAUGUGAUCAUUCAAAGAUAAGCUACCUGAUGAAAAAAUAAAGGUUAAUGCAAUUCAACAACAAAAUUAAUGCUGCAAACAUCUCUCUUCUAUUUUAGACAUUCUUCUAACUGCUGGAACUAAUAAGAUAUGAAUGAUGAAGCUUAUAUUCUUCUAGGAAUGAUAUAUACUUCACACAAAUAUAAAUAAAAAGCCUAGAUAAUUACAAAUAAGUUAUAUGAAUGAAGUUGACAGUAACUGAAAGAAGUCCGUUUAAAUAUGGUUGUCGGAAAGCCUCUACAGAAGGUGCCAUCUAAACACAGAUCCAAGGGAUACCGGUAGACUAGCUGUACUAAGAACCAUGGAGAGAGCGUUCUAGAGUGUACAUGUUCAGAGGCCGAAUAGAAUGAAUGAGUUAGACACAUCUGGGAAACGAAAAAGAAGCCAAUGUGAAUGGAAAACAAGGACCGUUACUGUAGGCCAUGAAAACAUUUUCUCUUUCUCUCCCCCUCUCUCUGUUUUUUGUUUGUUUGUUUGUUUGUUUGUUUUGGUUUGGUUUGGUUUUUUUUUUUUUGAGACGGAGUCUCGCUGUGUUGCCCAGGCUGGAGUGCAGUGGCGCGAUCUCGGCUCACUGCAAGCUCCGCCUCCCGGGUUCAUGCCAGUCUCCUGCCUCAACCUCCCGAGUAGCUGGGACUACAGGCGCCGCCACCACGCCCGGAUAAUUUUUGUAUUUUUAGUAGAGACGGGGUUUCACCAUGUUGGCCAGGCUUGUGUGGAACCCUGACUUCAGGUGAUCCGUCCGCCUCGGCCUCCCAAAGUGCUGGGACUACAGGCGCCCGCCACCACGCCCGGCUAAUUUUUUUGUAUUUUUAGUAGAGACGGGGUUUCACCAUGUUAGCCAGGAUAGUCUCGAUCUCCUGACCUUGUGAUCCGCCCGCCUCGGCCUCCCAAAGUGCUGGGAUUACAGGCGUGAGCCAUUGUGCCAAGACUCUUUCUCUCUUUUUUUUUUUUUUUCCUUUCUUCCCUAAGCACAGUGGUAGCCAUUAGAGCAUCUGAGAAGGGAUGUGGGCAAGCCUGGUUUUAAUUCUAAAGUUCCCUUCGGUUAAUUUGUGACAAACUGGAUUGUGAAUGUGUUUCCAUGUAUCGUGGGAAGGAGAAUAUAGAGGUGGGAGUGAAUAGCAAAAAUACACAUAAGAAGACUCUUUAUGAAGUUUUUUGGAUUAUCUGUAAAUAUACACUAUCACAACACUGAAAAUUUAUGCUGAAACUUUCAUUCCAAUCUAUUUUAUUUUUAUUUUUAUUUUUUCUUUUUUUUCCACUUCAAAUGAAUGAGCCUAUUGUGAAUUCUUUUGAAAGGCUUUGUAUUUUUGUCUCUGUGAUACUUCGUGGCUUCAUAUUUGUUUACUUUUACUAUUUGGUUGUUUAGUUAUAUGUAUUUUGUUCCACUAAAAUGUCCCAUUCCGAACAGGUAUGCCUUCUGAACAAUUAAUGCAGUGCACCUAAUGUACAUCAAUCAAAUUGCUAACCGAUGAUGUUUCUCAAGGGUAUUUGUUCCUUGGUAGUUGUCAGAAAUAUAAAUGGUAUAUUUCAGUAUAUAUCACAGUAUACAUUUUCUCAUGUAAUCCCCACAAUAACUCAGCAAAGUGUGGCUUAUUAUCACUUCAACAGAAGAGUCAGAAAGUUUAAGCUACUGCAUCUGGGUAACUAUGCAAAGCCGUAGAGAAGAGUGGAAAAGACACACAAUUCAGAUUUGAAAUAUUUUUUUUCAGUUCUUUGCUGUUCACUUUAUUACAUCAACAUACAAAUAAUAAUAUAUAAAUGGAUUUGUCUUACAAUUGUAUUUUCAGGUUAUAUAUUUAGAACCUGCUCAUUAAUGUUUGUGUUCAUGUGAAAUAAAUUUUGAAACCAUA
Long non-coding RNA from Homo sapiens (human), 2688 nucleotides. RefSeq lists it as uncharacterized. The transcript has 4 exons. The record is from RefSeq and is a predicted model, not a curated record. Lineage: Eukaryota; Metazoa; Chordata; Mammalia; Primates; Hominidae.